Molecule: long non-coding RNA, 345 nt
Organism: Haemorhous mexicanus (house finch)
Lineage: Eukaryota; Metazoa; Chordata; Aves; Passeriformes; Fringillidae
Exons: 2
Source: RefSeq, a predicted model, not a curated record
GGCCUUUAUUUUUCCUCAUUUUUGGGCAAUUUGAGGCUUUCUUUUUUUGCUUUUUUCAGGCAUUUUUGGGGCUUUUUUUCUGAUUUUUUAGGUAUUUUUUGGGCAUUUUUGGGGCUUUUUUUCUGAUUUUUUGGGUAUUUUUUGGGGCAUUUUUUGGGCUUUUUUCGGGGCAGUUUUGGUCAAUUUUUAGUCUUUUUUUUUUCUUUUAUUUCCGAGCAGUUUUGGGGCAUUUUUUAGGAAUUUUGGGGCGAUUUUUGUGCUUUUUGAUUUAUUUUUUGCCUUUUUUUAAACAAUUUUUGCAUUUUGUGCAAAUUUUUGGCCACUUUUAUUUUUCUUCUUUUUAAU